RNAcentral lists this transfer RNA (72 nucleotides) under Cylindrobasidium torrendii FP15055 ss-10. RNAcentral's name for it is "tRNA-Pro (TGG) (tRNA-Pro-TGG-1-1, tRNA-Pro-TGG-1-2)". It matches the Rfam family "tRNA". From Rfam's summary of the family: Transfer RNA (tRNA) molecules are approximately 80 nucleotides in length. Their secondary structure includes four short double-helical elements and three loops (D, anti-codon, and T loops). The record is from RNAcentral. Lineage: Eukaryota; Fungi; Basidiomycota; Agaricomycetes; Agaricales; Physalacriaceae.
GGCCUGAUGGUCUAGUAGCAUGAUUCCUGCUUUGGGUGCAGGAGGUCACGGGUUCAAUUCCCGUUCAGGCCC